GCGGUGGUGGUUCAGUGGUAGAAUUCUCCCCUUCCAUGUAGGAGACCAGGGUUCAAUUCCCGACCAAUGCA
Molecule: transfer RNA, 71 nt
Filed under: Loxodonta africana (African savanna elephant)
Lineage: Eukaryota; Metazoa; Chordata; Mammalia; Proboscidea; Elephantidae
Rfam family: tRNA
About the family: Transfer RNA (tRNA) molecules are approximately 80 nucleotides in length. Their secondary structure includes four short double-helical elements and three loops (D, anti-codon, and T loops). Further hydrogen bonds mediate the characteristic L-shaped molecular structure. tRNAs have two regions of fundamental functional importance: the anti-codon, which is responsible for specific mRNA codon recognition, and the 3' end, to which the tRNAs corresponding amino acid is attached (by aminoacyl-tRNA synthetases). tRNAs cope with the degeneracy of the genetic code in two manners: having more than one tRNA (with a specific anti-codon) for a particular amino acid; and 'wobble' base-pairing, i.e. permitting non-standard base-pairing at the 3rd anti-codon position.
Source: Rfam by way of RNAcentral